This 846-nucleotide ribosomal RNA is filed under the name uncultured bacterium. RNAcentral's name for it is "bacterial SSU rRNA". It matches the Rfam family "Bacterial small subunit ribosomal RNA", at positions 28 to 897 of the family's 1533-position model. The record is from RNAcentral.
GAUGAACGCUGGCGGCGUGCCUAACACAUGCAAGUCGAGCGAUUUACUUCGGUAAAGAGCGGCGGACGGGUGAGUAACGCGUGGGUAACCUGCCUCAUACACAUGGAUAACAUACCGAAAGGUAUGCUAAUACAGGAUAAUAUAAGAGAUUCACAUGGAUUUCUUAUCAAAGCUCCGGCGGUAUGAGAUGGACCCGCGUCUGAUUAGCUAGUUGGUAAGGUAAUGGCUUACCAAGGCGACGAUCAGUAGCCGACCUGAGAGGGUGAUCGGCCACAUUGGAACUGAGACACGGUCCAAACUCCUACGGGAGGCAGCAGUGGGGAAUAUUGCACAAUGGGCGAAAGCCUGAUGCAGCAACGCCGCGUGAGUGAUGAAGGCCUUCGGGUCGUAAAACUCUGUCCUCAAGGAAGAUAAUGACGGUACUUGAGGAGGAAGCCCCGGCUAACUACGUGCCAGCAGCCGCGGUAAUACGUAGGGGGCUAGCGUUAUCCGGAUUUACUGGGCGUAAAGGGUGCGUAGGUGGUUUUUUAAGUCAGGAGUGAAAGGCUACGGCUCAACCGUAGUAAGCUCUUGAAACUGGAAAACUUGAGUGCAGGAGAGGAAAGUGGAAUUCCUAGUGUAGCGGUGAAAUGCGUAGAUAUUAGGAGGAACACCAGUAGCGAAGGCGGCUUUCUGGACUGUAACUGACACUGAAGGCACGGAAAGCGUGGGGGGAGCAAACAGGAUUAAGAUACCCUGGUAGUCCACGCCGUAAACCGAUGAGUACUAGGUGUCGGGGGUUACCCCCCUCGGUGCCGCAGCUAACGCAUUAAGUACUCCGCCUGGGGAGUACGCUCGCAAGAGUGA